CACACCUAAUCCGCGUUCCUGGCGUUACCUCGCGCGAAUCGCCUAGGCUUUCUUCUGCACAAUUCAAACGAGAGGAAGAGGGAAAUAGAAAACAGAAACCGAUCCGGUCUAAUCUCCAUUCAAUCCCUUCCUCUUUCUGAUUCCGAGGGAUUUCUACCAAAACCCUGAUCUCUCUCUCUCUCUCUCUCUCUCUCUCUCUCUCUCUCUCUCUCUCCCUCUUUCUCUCUACAGAAAUUCAUGGCCGAAAACGUCACCCCAAAUGCGAAACAGAGGCCUCCUCCCAUGUCUUCUCGCCUCCAAUCUCCAACAAGCCCCUUCUUCCUGGGCUCCAACGACGACCAACUCGAACGCGCCCAAGCCCGCGCGGCCCGUGCCGCCGCCAACCGUAGAAAAUCCACUGCUCAUCCUCCGCCUCAGCCUUCGGACCGGUCAGAUCUAUUCAACAAAGACCAGAUAGCAGAGCUCUUCCAAAACUGCAUCAAACUCGCCAGCGAAAAUAAAAUAAACCAGAAAAACACGUGGGAUCUGACCCUCAUCGAUCAUCUCAGUGAAAUCAUCAGGGUUGAAUCGGAGGAUGACGCCGAGACCAAUUUCCAAAAGGCGAGCUGUACAUUGGAAGCUGGAGUAAAGAUAUACUCGUUGAGGGUUGAUUCAGUGCAUUCUGAGGCAUACAAAGUUCUUGGUGGGAUUAAUCGGGUGGGCCAUGAAGGCGAUAAAGAGGACACUGUAGAGGGUGAAAACAUUGAUUCUGUACAAGAAGAGGGCCGUCCGAAGAAAGAGUCAGAGAAAAAGAUCUCACCUUUAUCAACAUUGGAGUCAUCUUUUGAGGCUCUAAAUGUAAAGAAGUUUGAUGUGGCCUUCACUGUGGAUCCUUUAUAUCAUCAAUCGUCUGCACAAUUUGAUGAAGGUGGAGCCAAGGGUCUUCUCCUCAAUAACCUUGGAGUAUAUGGUGGCUGUCGAGUGCUUUUUGAUUCACUUGAAACACCAGGGAAGAAUCUAUCAUGUGCACCACAAACUGAUUUAUCAGAACAGAUCGAUAUUUCUUUUGCAAGAGAGUACAUUGAGCAAAUGAUGAUUCAAAUGCGUCAGAAGAAAGACAUCUCUCCAUCACUGAGGGAUAUUGUGAAUCAGUUUGAUGAAGAUAAUCGGAGGCCACCGGAUGUAUUUUCUGUAGACCAGACAACAGUGGAACAGGAUGCUUCAGCCAGCUAUAAUCAAGCUGAGGUGGAAAAUGAUGUGUUUGAUGAUUGUGGGCCUUGGGGCUUUGAUAACGAUGACCAGACAAGUGUGCACGAUGACCUCUCAACCUCUGCAAAUCCACAUUUCGCAAGUAACCAUGAGGAGAAUGGCAACUAUAUAUUCCAUGAACCUGAUGCGGAUGUUAGAUUCGAAAAAGUUGCUGCUUUUGCGUUUCUAGGCCUGGGAUGUAUUUCAAAACAAAAUUCUUGGGCAGGUCCUGAUCAUUGGAAGUAUCGGAAAGCUAAAGGUCCGGAGCAGGAUCCAGUUUCAGCAAGUGGAUCAUUAGCAACAUCAAAGAAAUCAAAGAACAGAAAGCAGGCAGCCAUUGAUAUCGAUUUCACAAAAUCCUUAGGCAAGGAAAUGCCAGAUAUCUUUGCGCUUCCAAAAAAUCCAAAGUCAUUAUUGCUUCCUGCAAGUAGAGUUCCUUGCAAUACUACACUUCCAGAAGACUGUCACUAUCAGCCUGUGGAUCUCGUCAAGUUGUUUCUUCUUCCCAAUGUUAUGUGCCUUGGGAAGAGAGGAAGAAAAUCUUCAGAUGAAUCGAGACGAGAAAGCCACACUAAUGAAGGAUUUGCAUCAUGGGAUAAUGAUAGUGAGAUCAGUGGCCAUUUUGAUGAUGGGAAUGUUCUCAGUGAUAUGGAAGACUCGAGCACUCUUGUUUCACACCCUCGGCAGGUAAAUAAAAUUGAAGUUCAAUAUGACAAGUCUUCUAAGCAGGUUGAUGUUCAUGUAUUGAAAGAAACGCUCUGGGAUCAUUUGCAAGAAUGCAUUAAAAACACUGAGAUGGGACAUGAGGAAGAGGUAUCUUUCAACCAUGUCUUGAGCAGCUUUCCUGCCGACUGUGCAGCAGCUGCAUCCAAGGAUAUUUCCCCACACCUGUGUUUCAUAUGUCUCUUGCAUUUGGCUAAUGAGCAUGGUCUGAGCAUCCACGACUGCCCCACUUUGGAUGAACUCCAUAUACGCAUUCCUCAGCAUGCCAAAGCAUUCGUGCAGUGAUCCUGCCAUCCUCCCCCACACCAUGGAUCUCUGUAUUAGCAGGUGCACAAGUGCCUGCAACUCAAUGUAAUCAUGUACCAUGCUGCUAGCAGCUUUCUUUCCAUGAUCAAGACUGGCAAGUGACCAUAGUGCCUGAGCAUCAAGCCUCAGACUAGGCUGGAGCAUCAAAUAACUCUACAGUGGAAAUUAUUCUGUGAGUCAUCUUCCAUGAGCUUCAUGUAACCUAUCUGCCACCUUCCAUGUUGCAAGAGGAUAGUGAAUUGGGACCAUCUACCUUGUGACCCUUGCUGUGGAUGCCCUGCAGUUCAAAAUCCACUCUAAUCAGUGGUCCAACUACAGUGGGGAAAGGUGUGUGAAAGUGAUGACUGCUUUUGUGUGAUCAUUGUUGUUUUUGAAGUGCGGGCCACCACAGCACAAUCUCCUUGGUUGAAAGAGAAACUUUGACGGAUGAUACGCUGGCACCUAGAAUUACUCAGAAAAUGCAUGCGUGCCAUUCAUGUAAUUCAAAUUAAACUGCCUGGUGACCCAUUAAAUCAAAGGUCUUGAUCA
Molecule: RNA transcript, 2784 nt
Organism: Magnolia sinica
Lineage: Eukaryota; Viridiplantae; Streptophyta; Magnoliopsida; Magnoliales; Magnoliaceae
Gene name: condensin complex subunit 2
Exons: 14
Source: RefSeq, a predicted model, not a curated record